This 2133-nucleotide unclassified non-coding RNA is filed under the name Ixodes scapularis (black-legged tick). RNAcentral describes it as "serine/threonine-protein kinase tricornered, transcript variant X3". Lineage: Eukaryota; Metazoa; Arthropoda; Arachnida; Ixodida; Ixodidae. The record is from RNAcentral.
AGUUUUUCUUGUAUAGUGAAGGUGUUCAGGCCUAUAAAAGUUUUUAGAAAAUAUUUUAGUAAUGGUUAUCAACUCCCGUCGCUUUGGACGAUAUUUUCCUACACCCCAUCGUUGUACACCCCAUAGGUACACCCGGUACACCCCUUCCAUGACGUAACGCCGGCUUCUCGCGCUUUUUCGACCCACCUGAUCGUCGGUACGCCACUUUGUGUGACGUCAGCACAGCUGCUCCUUUCUCCCGUGGUCGGAGCCGAACAACUGGUCGGGCGGUCCGACGGCCACUGCUGCGGUUUGCCGCUGGAUCGGCGAUCGUUGCGCACGCGAGGGGUAGCAUCUGCCAGCAGUGCACGGUGCCAUCGGGCCCACCUGACCCGUGACCAGAAAAUGCCGGCCACCAGCCGCGCCCUCGCUGCCACGGACACCUAGGACCGGGACAAGGGCGCAUGGCGACGGCGGCCGAAAGCGGGUCCCGCCUGAGCGGCCACACGCUGGACAAAGCCACCAAGGCCAAGGUGCACCUGGAGAACUACUACUCGAACCUGGUGAGCCAGCACUUGGAGCGCAAGGGGCGCCACGACCGCCUCGAGGAAACCAUGCGCGAGGAGGGACUCUCCGAGGAACAGAAGCGGGAGAAGCGGCAGCAGCACUCGCUAAAGGAGACGGAGUUCCUGCGCCUGAAGCGCUCCCGGCUCGGCGUGGAGGACUUCGAGCCACUGAAGGUGAUUGGCCGGGGCGCCUUCGGGGAGGUGCGCCUGGUCCAAAAGCGUGACACGGGCCACGUGUACGCCAUGAAGAUCCUCCGCAAGGCAGACAUGCUCGAAAAGGAGCAGGUGGCCCACGUGCGGGCCGAGCGGGAUGUUCUAGUGGAGGCAGACCACCAGUGGGUGGUCAAGAUGUACUACAGCUUCCAGGAUGCCAUCAAUCUGUACCUCAUCAUGGAGUUUCUUCCCGGCGGCGACAUGAUGACCCUGCUGAUGAAGAAGGACACCCUGUCAGAAGAGUGCACCCAGUUCUACAUUGCCGAGACGGCCCUGGCCAUCGACUCGAUCCACAAGCUGGGCUUCAUCCACCGGGACAUCAAGCCGGACAACCUGCUGCUGGAUGCUCGGGGACACAUCAAGCUCUCGGACUUUGGCCUGUGCACGGGCCUAAAGAAGUCGCACCGGACGGAGUUCUACCGCGACCUGUCCCAGGCCAAGCCCUCGGACUUCACGUCGAAUCCAAUGGACUCUAAGCGUCGGGCAGAGAGCUGGAAGAAGAACCGGAGACAGCUGGCCUACUCGACCGUGGGCACGCCGGACUACAUUGCACCCGAGGUGUUCCUGCAGACGGGCUACAGCAGCUCGUGUGACUGGUGGUCCCUGGGUGUCAUCAUGUACGAGAUGCUCAUUGGCUACCCUCCCUUCUGCUCGGAGACUCCUCAGGAGACGUAUCGCAAGGUGAUGGGCUGGCGGGAGACCCUGGUGUUCCCCGCUGAGGUGCCCAUCUCGGAGGAAGCACGCUGCCUCGUCCAGGGGUUCUGCUCCGAGGCCGACGCCCGCGUCGGGGCCCAGGGGGGUUUGCCGCAGAUCCGGGCGCAGCCCUUCUUCCGCGGUGUGGACUGGGACCACAUCCGCGAGCGGCCGGCCGCCAUCCCCAUGGAGGUGAAGAGCAUCGACGACACGUCCAACUUCGACGACUUUCCCGACGUGGACCUCAAGAUCCCUUGUGCCCCUCCCGCCACACCGAGCAAGGAGGAGGCGGCCGGAUACAAGGACUGGGUCUUCAUCAACUACACCUUCAAGCGCUUCGAGGGCCUCACCCAGCGAGGGGUCAAGCCACCCAAAAAGUGCUGACGACCCCCGCGGCCACCACCGCACGCGAGGGGACACCCUAUUUAUGUUACCGUUUUUACCGUUCCUCCGCAGCUUUUGGAGCGUGUCCCCAGCUGGCCGCGAGUCUGCGAAGAUCGAAGGGCGCUGGUGACCCUCGAAACGCUUGGGCCUGGUGCAGCAUCUUCUUUUUUUUUUUUUUUGCUCGCGAAAUGGAGCGAGUUCUUGCACCUUGUGAGUGAGGACUGCCACGUAGCGGCGCAGGGAGUGGAUUAGUAUUUUAGAAGUGCAAUCAGUUUGAAUAAAGUUUUCCAGAAAGGAA